RNAcentral lists this ribosomal RNA (468 nucleotides) under uncultured bacterium. Its description in RNAcentral is "partial 16S ribosomal RNA". The stretch from base 58 to 468 matches the Rfam family "Bacterial small subunit ribosomal RNA", at positions 39 to 507 of the family's 1533-position model. The record is from RNAcentral.
GGGGGGGGGGGGGGGGGGGGUUGGCGGGUGGAGGGCGGGGGGGGCGGGGCGGCUGUUGGGGGGUGCUCGCGUGGGGACGGGGUGGGUCACACGUGGGUAGCCUGCCCUUUGCUUUGGGCUUCGUUCCGGCAACUUGGGCUACUCCCGGAUCGGAGCUCCUGCUGCAUGGUGUUGUUUGGCAAUUUUCGGCGGUUGGUGAUGGACUCGCGUCUUAUCCGAUUGUUGGUGUGGUAGUGGCUUACGAAGGCUUUGGCGGGUAGCCGGCCUGAUAUGGGGACAGGCCACAUUGGGACUGAGAGACGGCCCAGACUCCUACGGGAGGCAGCAGUGGGGAAUAUUGCACAAUGGGCGGAAGCAUGAUGCAGCAACGCCGCGUGCGGGAUGACGGCCUUCGGGUGGUAAACCGCUUUCGCCUGGGACGAAGCGUGAGUGACGGUAAUGGGUAAAGAAGCACCGGCUAACUACGUG